Molecule: non-coding RNA, 26 nt
Filed under: Mus musculus (house mouse)
Lineage: Eukaryota; Metazoa; Chordata; Mammalia; Rodentia; Muridae
Source: RNAcentral
UCUGCAACUUGGUGGUCAGUCUAACU